CAAUAGCGUAUAUUUAAGUUGUUGCAGUUAAAAAGCUCGUAGUUGGAUUUCGGGCGGGGCAUGCCGGUCCGCUCUUUGAGUGUGCACUGGCAGGCGUCGUCUUUCUGUCGAGGACGCGCUUCUGGUCUUUACUGAUCGGGGACGCGGAGUCGGCGAAGUUACUUUGAAAAAAUUAGAGUGUUCAAAGCGGGCUUUCGCUUGAAUAUAUUAGCAUGGAAUAACACGAUAGGACUCCUGUCCUAUUUUGUUGUCUUCGGGACGGAGUAAUGAUUAAGAGGAACAGUUGGGGGCAUUCGUAUUUCAUUGUCAGAGGUGAAAUUCUUUGGAUUGCCGUACGACGAACUACUGCGAAAGCAUUUGCCAAGGAUGUUUUCAUUGAUCAAGAACGAAAGUAAGGGGAUCGAAGACGAUUAGAUACCA
RNAcentral lists this ribosomal RNA (420 nucleotides) under uncultured eukaryote. RNAcentral's name for it is "bacterial SSU rRNA". It matches the Rfam family "Eukaryotic small subunit ribosomal RNA", at positions 592 to 1017 of the family's 1831-position model. The record is from RNAcentral.